UGCCACUCGAUUGUCUAUUUUCCUUUCCGUUGCUUAAACCACCAUCUUGCUCUUAUAACUCAUUUUAUUCAAAGUUUUGCUCGACGAAUUUGGUGAGGAAAAACAUUUUUUUAAAAAAAUAAAGAAAGAAAAUCAAGUGAAUCUUUUUUUGUUCGUAUUUGUUAAUUGAACGAUGCAGAUAACGCGUAACGAAGAAAUUAGAAUCCGGUUGCCGGCG
RNAcentral lists this long non-coding RNA (217 nucleotides) under Elaeis guineensis (African oil palm). RNAcentral's name for it is "long non-coding RNA (EGUI_LNC036772)". The record is from RNAcentral. Lineage: Eukaryota; Viridiplantae; Streptophyta; Magnoliopsida; Arecales; Arecaceae.